Molecule: transfer RNA, 60 nt
Filed under: Thelazia callipaeda (thelaziosis nematode)
Lineage: Eukaryota; Metazoa; Nematoda; Chromadorea; Rhabditida; Thelaziidae
Description: tRNA-Leu
Source: RNAcentral
AAACUUUAUAGUAUAAUAAGUAUAUUCGUUUUAAGCACGGAAGGUAUUUAAGUUAGAAUU